GUCUACGGCCAUGCCACCCUCAACAAGCCUGAUACCGUCUGAUCUCAGAAGCUAAGCAGGGUUGGGCCUGGUUAGUGCUUGGACGGGAGACCGCCUAGGAAGACCGGAUGCUGUAGGCG
This 119-nucleotide ribosomal RNA is filed under the name Pteropus alecto (black flying fox). Lineage: Eukaryota; Metazoa; Chordata; Mammalia; Chiroptera; Pteropodidae. The record is from RNAcentral.